UAGUAUUAGUUAUCUUCAAUCAGCUCCUUGC
Molecule: non-coding RNA, 31 nt
Filed under: Mus musculus (house mouse)
Lineage: Eukaryota; Metazoa; Chordata; Mammalia; Rodentia; Muridae
Source: RNAcentral